ACUCAAAUGAAUUGACGGGGACUCGCACAAGCGGUGGAGCAUGUGGUUUAAUUCGAUACAACGCGCAGAACCUUACCAAGGCUUGACAUGAAGGGCAAUGUUGAAGAAACUCAACAGAGGUUAUCCCAACACAGGUGGUGCAUGGUCGUCGUCAGUUCGUGCUGUGAAGCGUAUGCUUAAGUGCUAGAACGAACGCAACCCUCAUAUUCAGUUGCUACCAUUUAGUUGAGAACUUUGGAUAGACUGCCAGGGUAACCUGGAGGAAGGAGAGGAUGACGUCUGAUCAUCAUGCCCCUUAUGCCUUGGGCUACACACGUGCUACAAUGGUUAGGACAAAGAGUUGCUAACCUGCAAAGGAAAGCCAAUCUCAAAAAACUAACCUUAGUUCGGAUUGAGGUCUGCAACUCGACCUCAUGAAGCAGGAAUCGCUAGUAAUCGUGAAUCAGCAAUGUCACGGUGAAUACGUUCUCGAGUCUUGUACACACCGCCCGU
RNAcentral lists this ribosomal RNA (492 nucleotides) under uncultured bacterium. RNAcentral describes it as "partial 16S ribosomal RNA". It matches the Rfam family "Bacterial small subunit ribosomal RNA", at positions 899 to 1397 of the family's 1533-position model. The record is from RNAcentral.